RNAcentral lists this long non-coding RNA (1993 nucleotides) under Diabrotica virgifera virgifera (western corn rootworm). Its description in RNAcentral is "uncharacterized LOC126881270". Lineage: Eukaryota; Metazoa; Arthropoda; Insecta; Coleoptera; Chrysomelidae. The record is from RNAcentral.
AAAAUGCAUCGAUAAGGGGGUGAAAAAUGGAAAUUAGUGGCUUUUUUUGCUGUACUCAACUGUACUGUUUAGUAUGCUAGUUUUGGCUAUGGCUGGAUCUCUUAAGUCUUAAACAAUUAUAAUCAGCUGAAAGUGGUCUACAAAAAACCAGAUAUAACCAAAAUAAAGAUAUAAAAAGUGUAUUGGCUAAUUGGAAGAAACUCAACAUUGUCCAUGCAUAAUAAGUUAUUACUUUAUAAACAAAUAUUAAGACCUAGGAAUGGAACCUGGAUAUAAUCAUCAAGAAGAUAGCAGGAAUCCCGACAAACAACUUAAAUAAGUACAAGAAUAUUGAGGAAAUCCAGCUCCUCGAUACUACUGGGCAAACUAGAAGAUUGAAGAGGACAAAGCCUUUUGAACUAGUUUGAGUGAUAGGUGAUAGUGAAAAGCAGAGCAUAGUGCGUGAUGUGGCUGUGUAUGUUAGAAUAGUGCACGAUCUUGUUAGAUUAGAUAAGAGACGCUAUCGGGUAAGCUCUUCAUUUUAAGAAACAGUAGUAAUUUAGGUUAAAUUAAAAUUGCUCAUUGGUCAGUUAUGACCAGAUUGCUUUUUUUUAUGUUUGGCAAAAAGGGCGUAAGUCAGAAUUGCACAUUGCUAAUGUUUUGAUGAUUUCUGGACCAGCAAAAAACUGUUGUAGACGUAAACUGUAUGUACCAAUAAAAAGAGCCGAUUUUUCUGGUCCAGAAAUCAUCAAAACAUUAUCGAUGUGCAUUUCUGACUUAAGCCCUUUUUCCCAAACAUCAGAGAAUUGUAAUGUACAAAUUCUCCUAUCUGAUUUUUCAUGAAUUUUGUAGGAGACAAAAAACUAUUUUUAGAAUCAUCUCCUGCUUUCACAUGUAAAUUUUGACAUGUCUUGUAGUAAAUAGAUAGUUGAAUUUACUACAAAACAUGUCAAAAAAUAUAUGAAAACAGGAGGUGACCAUAAAAAAAGUUUUUAGUCUCUCUUACAAAACUCAUGAAAAAACAAAUCGGAGGUAUGUCACAUCAGUGACUAUAUCCAGGGAAUGUCUAAAAAAUAUACUUUGAUGUCCCAAGAACCAAAUAUAACCUUUAUAUAUAUAUACAGGGUGUAACAAAAAUACAGGUCAUAAAUUUAAUCACAUAUCCUGGGACCAAAAAUAGUUUGAUUGGACCUAACUUACCUUAGUACAAAUGUGCACAAAAGAAAAGUUACAGCCCUUUGAAGUUAUAUAUUAAUAGCACCAAGGGCCUUAGAGGCCCAUGGCUUGAAAAGUUUGUUUUUUUCUUCAUUUUCACGUUUCUUUAUGUACUGAGAUCUUCUCUGGCUUGAUAUGUGAUUUUUCUCCAUUCCUUCCUCUUAUUCAUUUUUCUUUUCUGACCCUGUAACACCAUUCUUUCCAAAUCUUUUUCGACCUCUUGCUUCCAUCUAUUUUCCGGUCUUCCUCUUCUCUUUCUUGAAGCUAUAGUGUAGUUUAGUACCCUUUUCGGAGUCCUCGUUUUUGGCAUCCUUUCAAUGUGACCUCAUGAUCUAAGUCUCUGUGCCUUUAUCACUCAUUUGAAGUUACAAAAUGAAAAGUGAUUUUUUCCAAUGUAUCGAAAACAAUGUGCUUUUGUGCACGUUUCAAUUUAAUUAUUAUUGUAGUACCUACCAUUUAAACAACGUUUUAAAAACUUUUUUGCCUCUUAUUGCUUUUUCGAAAAGUCAAUUUUUAUCGAAAUAUUUUGAAUAUUUGUCAAAUCCACCACAUAUUUGUAUAUGGUUAAGUACGAUUAUGGAGACUUGGUAAUAAUAUGCAAACUUAUUUAUGCUUUACAUUUUUAGGUAUAUUUUGAACCAUAUUAAAAAAGAAGCCAGACUCGAUAAAACGUGCCUUAUCGAAAAAAUACAAAGAGGCAAAAAAGUUUUGAAAACACUCUGUUUAACUAAUGGUACCUCAGUAAUAGUUUAAUUGGAACAUACACAAACAUUUGGGGGGUUUAAAGGAACAAAACCCC